UACGAAGGGGGCUAGCGUUGCUCGGAAUCACUGGGCGUAAAGCGCACGUAGGCGGACUCUUAAGUCAGGGGUGAAAUCCUGGAGCUCAACUCCAGAACUGCCUUUGAUACUGAGAGCCUUGAGUCCGGAAGAGGUAAGUGGAACUGCGAGUGUAGAGGUGAAAUUCGUAGAUAUUCGCAAGAACACCAGUGGCGAAGGCGGCUUACUGGUCCAGUACUGACGCUGAGGUGCGAAAGCGUGGGGAGCGAACAGG
This 253-nucleotide ribosomal RNA is filed under the name uncultured bacterium. RNAcentral describes it as "partial 16S ribosomal RNA". It matches the Rfam family "Bacterial small subunit ribosomal RNA", at positions 524 to 776 of the family's 1533-position model. The record is from RNAcentral.